GGUAAUUUCGUAUCCUCGGCUGAUUCGUCAUAUGUGCGUGGCCGAACUAAAAUAAUGCCUUCCUGUCGUUCCUUUGUGUCCCCUUGUCCAGUAGGAGACAGAAGUUCAAACUGUCCAGACAUUAGUCUACAUUUUCCAAAGCCUAUCUUUUUUGGAGCCGUUGUCACGCUAAUUGUUUCUGUUGAAAUGGAUUUUAGAUUGCUACUUCUCUGUUGUCUUUAUAUCGCUGUUGUGGCAGCAGCUUUUCCAUCAGAAACGAGGAAUAUAGAGAAACGUGAUGUCAUGGAAUCCAUGAAGAAUGCUUGGAACGAAGUCGUGAAGACCCUAAGCGAUGCUGGCGAUGCGGUCGUUCACGUAUUCAAGCCAACAGAAAAGAGUGUCAUCGAUAAAAUGGCAGAUAGUGUUAAGAGCUUGACGCAAUAACCGGUUUAAUUGAUUUCAACACCUUAUAAUUACAACAGCAAUAUCGUUGUGGAUGAAUUGUGUCGUUGGGAUCACCAAAUUUUAUUAAUUAAUCGAAACAAACAUAUUUUAGAUCAAAAUACAUGGUAAUAAUUGUUUCUGUACACUUCUUCCCCCGCGAUGAUAUUUUAAGACUGUUGUCUCAUGUGAACAGUUUGAAUUUGUUUAAUAUUAUUAUAUUAAUCGUAUUUUAUUGUCUUUUAAUUUAAUGUUUUACUGAAUUUACCUACGUUUAAUAUUCAAGAACGUUUAAUGGUAUUCAUUCUUUCAAUUUGCUCACGAUAUCUUUGUAUUAGAUAUAAACAUGUAUAAACCACACAUUUUUCCUUGUCUGUAGCAAUAGUUUGAAUUUAGUGAAUGAAACAUAUAUUUUUUUAAAUUGCUCAAUCGCAUAAAAUUAAUAUCUAUUGAUUUAAUGAAUAAAAGAAUUAAACGAUUGUUAUUUGUAA
This is a long non-coding RNA of Bombyx mori (domestic silkworm), 911 nucleotides long. RefSeq lists it as uncharacterized. NCBI's taxonomy places the organism in Eukaryota, Metazoa, Arthropoda, Insecta, Lepidoptera, Bombycidae. The transcript has 2 exons. The record is from RefSeq and is a predicted model, not a curated record.